AGAGGCCCUCCGCAGCUGGGGUGAAACGCUUGCCUUGUUGCCGUGGCAACAAAGCAAGCAUUCCACCAGGCCGCUCACGGUGCCUGC
Non-coding RNA from Myotis brandtii (Brandt's bat), 87 nucleotides. The record is from Rfam. NCBI's taxonomy places the organism in Eukaryota, Metazoa, Chordata, Mammalia, Chiroptera, Vespertilionidae.